Molecule: ribosomal RNA, 395 nt
Filed under: Hirundo rustica (Barn swallow)
Lineage: Eukaryota; Metazoa; Chordata; Aves; Passeriformes; Hirundinidae
Description: partial 12S ribosomal RNA
Rfam family: Bacterial small subunit ribosomal RNA
Source: RNAcentral
GCCUGGCCCUAAAUCUUGAUGCUCGAUCUUACCGGAGCAUCCGCCCGAGAACUACGAGCACAAACGCUUAAAACUCUAAGGACUUGGCGGUGCCCCAAACCCACCUAGAGGAGCCUGUUCUGUAAUCGAUGAUCCACGAUACACCUAACCAUUCCUUGCUAGAACAGCCUAUAUACCGCCGUCGCCAGUUCACCCGGCAUGAAGGCCCAACAGUGAGCGCAAUAGCCCAACUACGCUAACAAGACAGGUCAAGGUAUAGCCUAUGGAAUGGAAGCAAUGGGCUACAUUUUCUAUACUAGAACAUACGGCAAAGGGGACUGAAACGACCCCUAGAAGGAGGAUUUAGCAGUAAAAAGGGAGAAUCGAGCCCUUUUUAAGACGGCUCUGGGACACGU